GACGAACGCUGGCGGCGUGCUUAACACAUGCAAGUCGAACGGAAAGGCCCUGCUUUUGUGGGGUGCUCGAGUGGCGAACGGGUGAGUAACACGUGAGUAACCUGCCCUUGACUUUGGGAUAACUUCAGGAAACUGGGGCUAAUACCGGAUAGGAGCUCCUGCUGCAUGGUGGGGGUUGGAAAGUUUCGGCGGUUGGGGAUGGACUCGCGGCUUAUCAGCUUGUUGGUGGGGUAGUGGCUUACCAAGGCUUUGACGGGUAGCCGGCCUGAGAGGGUGACCGGCCACAUUGGGCCUGAGAUAGGGCCCAGACUCCUACGGGAGGCAGCAGUGGGGAAUAUUGCACAAUGGGCGGAAGCCUGAUGCAGCAACGCCGCGUGCGGGAUGACGGCCUUCGGGUUGUAAACCGCUUUCGCCUGUGACGAAGCGUGAGUGACGGUAAUGGGUAAAGAAGCACCGGCUAACUACGUG
Molecule: ribosomal RNA, 468 nt
Filed under: uncultured bacterium
Lineage: Bacteria
Description: partial 16S ribosomal RNA
Rfam family: Bacterial small subunit ribosomal RNA
Source: RNAcentral